AGAGUUUGAUCAUGGUCAGAAUGAACGCUGCCGGUAUGCUUAACACAUGCAAGUCGACGAAAGUUUUUACCUUUAGUGGCGAACGGGUGCGUAAUACGUGAGAAUCUGCCCUUAGAAGGAGGAUAACUACUGGAAACGGUUGCUACCACUCCAUAUGUCGAGAGAUGAAAUAACUUUGUUGCCUAAGGAUGAGCUCGCGCCUGAUUAGCUAGUUGGUGAGGUAAUGGCUCACCAAGGCCACGAUCAGUAGCUGGUUUGAGAGAACGAUCAGCCACACUGGGACUGAGACACGGCCCAGACUCCUCCGGGAGGCAGCAGUGAGGAAUUUUCCGCAAUGGGCGAAAGCCUGACGGAGCAAUACCGCGUGAGGGACGAAGGAUUUUGGUCUGUAAACCUCUUUUCUCAAGAAAGAAGUUCUGACGGUACUUGAGGAAUAAGCAUCGGCUAACUCCGUGCCAGCAGCCGCGGUAAUACGGGGGAUGCAAGCGUUAUCCGGAAUCAUUGGGCGUAAAGCGCCUGUAGGUUGUUUAUUAAGUCUGUUGUUAAAGACUAGGGCUUAACCCUAGGAAAGCAAGAGAAACUAAUAGACUUGAGUAGGCAGGGGUAGAGGGAAU
RNAcentral lists this ribosomal RNA (614 nucleotides) under uncultured phototrophic eukaryote. RNAcentral describes it as "SSU rRNA". It matches the Rfam family "Bacterial small subunit ribosomal RNA", at positions 8 to 667 of the family's 1533-position model. The record is from RNAcentral.